AGGAAAAGAAACUAACAAGGAUUCCCCCAGUAACGGCGAGUGAAGCGGGAAGAGCUCACGUUGUGAAUCUGGCCCUCGGGCCCGAAUUGUACACUGGAGAGGCGUGGCCAGCCGCUGUCCGCGGCCAAGUCUGAUUGGAAAUGAGCAUCAAGGAGGGUGACAAUCCCGUCCAUGCCGCGGUACCGAUCAGCGCGCGUCCGGCCCGCUUUCGACGAGUCGAGUUGCUUGGGAUUGCAGCUCAAAGAGGGUGGUAAACUCCAUCCAAAGCUAAACACGGGGGGGAGACCGAUAGCGAACAAGUACCGUGAGGGAAAGAUGCAAAGAACUUUGAAAAGAGAGUUAAAGAGUGCCUGAAAUUGCUGGAAGGGAAGCGAAGGAAAGAGGUGUGCGGUUGCCCGGGCGCCAACCCCUACCUGUUCGCAGGUGGGGGUAGGCCGCCCGGCCGCGGUCAGGGGUAGCGCCGGGCUCGGGGGAAGAGCCGUCGGGGAUCGGUAGGCGAGCCGCUUCGGUGGUGCGCUGUCAGGCCCCGGUGGUUGUUGCCCUGAGCCCGGCCCCCGUCUGGCGGUCGCGGCUUUUCUUCAC
This 582-nucleotide ribosomal RNA is filed under the name Dictyota dichotoma. Its description in RNAcentral is "eukaryotic LSU rRNA". It matches the Rfam family "Eukaryotic large subunit ribosomal RNA", at positions 54 to 476 of the family's 3401-position model. The record is from RNAcentral. Lineage: Eukaryota; Phaeophyceae; Dictyotales; Dictyotaceae.